Long non-coding RNA from Lathyrus oleraceus (garden pea), 440 nucleotides. RefSeq lists it as uncharacterized. The transcript has 2 exons. The record is from RefSeq and is a predicted model, not a curated record. NCBI's taxonomy places the organism in Eukaryota, Viridiplantae, Streptophyta, Magnoliopsida, Fabales, Fabaceae.
GAGAGAGAGAGAGAGAGAGAGAGAGAGAGAGAGAGAGAGAGAGAGAGAGAGAGAGAGAGAGAGAGAGAGAGAGAGAGAGAGAGAGAGAGAGAGAGAGAGAGAGAGAGAGAGAGAGAGAGAGAGAGAGAGAGGGGAAGAAUCGUUGCUUUUGCAACCCAUAGAAGCAAAGAAGACAAGAGGUAGAAGGUUGUUGAUUUUUCAGAUUUGGUGUUGAUCAAGAAUGUUCUUCCAGACAAGAGGAGAAAAACGGGUUAUAGAUUCAGAACUUUGGCAUGCUUGUGUUGGUCCUCAUAUUUCUUUGCCAACUGAUGGAAGUCGCGUUGUCUACUUUCCAAAAGGUCACAGUGAACAUGUGAGUCAGAUAUGAUGAUAGAACUAGAAGCUCUCUUUCAAACCAUGGUGUGUAUUAAAGUAAUAAUAAUUGGUUCUUUUUUCAUGUA